This is a long non-coding RNA of Gavialis gangeticus (Gharial), 2239 nucleotides long. RefSeq lists it as uncharacterized. The record is from RefSeq and is a predicted model, not a curated record. Lineage: Eukaryota; Metazoa; Chordata; Crocodylia; Gavialidae. The transcript has 2 exons.
ACACACGGUAAGUCGAGGACUGCCUGUAUUUACCCUUUAAACAUUUCAGAAGCAGCAAUUACAGUAGCACUUUGGAUGCCGAUUUACCAAAGCUACAUUUUGAUUGGUUGUUAGAACUUUUUUGGUGAUGUCAUAUCUUUAUAUCAACAGCCCCAAGUGGUGCACUGCUGGGAAAUAGCACAGAUUAAUUUUCUUUAUGCUGACUGGGCCAAAUUCAUCCUCAGUGUAACUUCAUUGGCUUCAGUGGAGUGACAACAUAGUCCAGCAGAGUGGUUGAUACACAAUGAAAUGUGUACUGUGGAGUUAUACUGUAGCCCUUCCAAUUCCUUUCUCUUCAUAUGCUCAUGCUUCCCUCCCUCCCUGCCUUCUCCCUUCUUUUCCCCAGAAAGCUUUUGACUUCUCCUUCUUUCUCCUCUUCAUCUGCCACUUGCCUCUCAUUUCCUUUCCCCCAGCCUGUAAACUUUAACCGCUACAUGAGACACAGUCCUGGGACCUCUGAAAGUGUUCUUACUUCAGGUUUGCAAAUAGCAGUUAAUCUCAAGGGAGCACGUCUGUUUGUCUCGCACUAAUGAGCACUGCUGCCAGGCUGAGAAGGGAAGUCAGUGGUUUCCCCCUCAAACAUUGUGGCUAGCUUUCUUCCAGCAGCACUCUGAAGGAAACCACUACUUCCCUUCCCAGCUGCACCCUGACAGGCAGCAGUCUCAGAGAAGUGGCUAAGCACCUCUGGAGCAAACUUGCUCUGGAGAAUCUGAAGUGAACAGCUGCUUUCAGGGUCCCAAUUCAGCUUUCCUACUAAUAAAUGAAAGGAUAGGAGGAAAGCAAAGGAAGAGGAGGACAGAGAUGAGAGGAACUUCAAGGCAAACAGACAGAUCCUUUUCAGCUGCCCUACCCCAAUUAGCCAGCUGCCUUUCCAGUAGCAGUUUGUGGUCUAACAGCCACUCUUAACUCACUUGGGACCUGAUCCUGCCAUUUUUACUUACUGAAAACACAUACGGCAGUUUAUAUAGUGCCCCCAAAGUGAACGGGCGGGAGCUUUACAAACAGAGCUUACUUCAACAGGGGUCUUAAAGAGUACUGAGUGGUUAAGGAAUACUGGGUCUGGCCCUUAAGAUUAGAUGCCUUCCAGACCUUAAGGAAACCAGGAAUAAGCAUGAAACACAAGCUCAACAAUUUUAUGCAGAGUACAAGAAGCGAUCAGAAUAAGCCAUUGGGGAAAAAAAGAAUAUAAAUGAGUUCAAGAGAUACCUAAUGUAGAUGUCUCUGUAUGGUAAAAUUGAUGGAGAUAUUUGAUGGGGAAAAAAAGGCCGCUGAAAUUAAAAUAUAUAUAUAAAAAUGGCAGCAUUACAGGACUAGGUUAGAGAGGAACAAAUCAUUUAUUAGAUUAAUUUAUUCCAUAUUUUCUGCGCAGAGAAUAUUACUUAUUUAAAUUUAUCUGACAAUUUUUUGGCUCAUGGUAAAUAUGCAAGAGGUACAUUUGAGCUGUGCAGCUUUGUUGCAUUUGGUCAAUGAAACCAUGUGGUAUUGUCUAGUUCCUGGACUGGAAGACUGUACAAGCUCUUCAGGUGCAAAUAUGGUACCCCCUGCCACCUCCCAAAUGAAAUUUUCCUGCAAGGAAUAUUUGUCUCAUUAAACUGGGUCACUGAAAUAUAUGCAGGAAUUCCAUGAGCAUACUAAAGUGAAUUCAGAUUAAAAUCUAUAGGGAUUAUCACAGUAAAUGUUUACGAUAUUUGCACAUCUCCAGAUCUCAUAUCCUCUGCCUGUUCUUGAAAUGCUUAUUUUCCCUAUAUAGCUUAGCCUGAUGUUACUUUUCUUACUUGUUCUCUCUCUAGAAUGGUACUUCCAGUGCUGACACUGUUCUGUCAGGCAAUCCUUACUAGAGAAGACAGGAUAUAAUUCUUGAAAAUACCCAUCCCCAAAGGCAAUAUUUUCAGAAAUUAUAGGAGGAAGAGGCCUUCUCUAGUUACCACUUGAUCACCAGCCCCAGUUUGCUUGGAGAUAAAGACGACACACUGUCACUUUCUCAAACACCCUCUCCUUAACCCAGCCAUUCUUAAAGAGACAGUGGGAUAAAUGAAAUUCAAGAUUCAAGAGGUGCCGCUUCCCUUGAAAAUAUUCCACCCACCAGAGAGGAGUUUCAGAAUCCAUUCCUAGCAGUUAAUGCUCCAUCCUAAAUGACAUCGCUUUUCAGUAGUGACAUGUGCAUUGAUCUGCAUUACAAAAAUAAAAGGAAUAGCACUUC